ACUGUGGUAAUUCUAGAGCUAAUACAUGCAAUGAAGCUGUUCUGGCCUCGUGUCAGCAGCGCAGUUAUUAGAUUAAAACCAAUAUAGGCCUUCGGGUCUAUUAAACUUGUGAUGAAUCUGAAUAACCGAAGCUAAGCGCAUGGUCUCGUACCGGCGCUAGAUCUUUCAAGUGUCUGAUCUAUCAGCUUGUCGUUAGGUUAUGUUCCUAACGUGGCUUCGACGGGUAACGGGGUAUCAGGGUCCGAUACCGGAGAGGGAGCCUGAGAAAUGGCUACCACAUCCAAGGAAGGCAGCAGGCGCGCAAAUUACCCACUCCCAGUUCGGGGAGGUAGUGACGAAAAAUAACGAUGCGGGAGCAUAAUGCUUCCCGUAAUCGGAAUGAGUACACUUUAAAUCCUUUAACGAGGAUCAAUUGGAGGGCAAGUCUGGUGCCAGCAGCCGCGGUAAUUCCAGCUCCAAUAGCGUAUAUUAAAGUUGCUGCGGUUAAAAAGCUCGUAGUUGGAUCUGGGUGCUUCGAUGAGUGGUGCAUCUAUUCGAUGUCUACUACUCCAUCGACACCACAAGCCAACCAUGUCCUUCUAUACCCUUCAUUGGGCGUAGAUAAUGGGCGGUUGGAACGUUUACUUUGAAAAAAUUAGAGUGCUCAAAGCAGGCGUAUGGCCUUGAAUAAUGGUGCAUGGAAUAAUGGAAUAGGACCUCGGUUCUAUUUGUUGGUUUACAAGAGCUCGAGGUAAUGAUAAAGAGGAACAGACGGGGGCAUUCGUAUUGCGACGUUAGAGGUGAAAUUCUUGGAUCGUCGCAAGACGAACUACUGCGAAAGCAUUUGCCAAGAAUGUUUUCAUUAAUCAAGAACGAAAGUUAGAGGUUCGAAGGCGAUCAGAUACCGCCCUAGUUCUAACCAUAAACGAUGCCAACCAGCGAUCUGUCGGUGUUUAUUUAACGACUCGACAGGCAGCUUCCGGGAAACCAAAGUGCUUAGGUUCCGGGGGAAGUAUGGUUGCAAA
This 1004-nucleotide ribosomal RNA is filed under the name Milnesium pentapapillatum. RNAcentral's name for it is "SSU rRNA". It matches the Rfam family "Eukaryotic small subunit ribosomal RNA", at positions 146 to 1135 of the family's 1831-position model. The record is from RNAcentral. Lineage: Eukaryota; Metazoa; Tardigrada; Eutardigrada; Apochela; Milnesiidae.